RNAcentral lists this ribosomal RNA (497 nucleotides) under uncultured bacterium. RNAcentral describes it as "partial 16S ribosomal RNA". It matches the Rfam family "Bacterial small subunit ribosomal RNA", at positions 28 to 507 of the family's 1533-position model. The record is from RNAcentral.
GAUGAACGCUGGCGGCGUGCCUAAUACAUGCAAGUCGAGCGAACAGACGAGGAGCUUGCUCCUCUGACGUUAGCGGCGGACGGGUGAGUAACACGUGGAUAUCCUACCUAUAAGACUGGGAUAACUUCGGGAAACCGGAGCUAAUACCGGAUAAUAUAUUGAACCGCAUGGUUCAAUAGUGAAAGACGGUUUUGCUGUCACUUAUAGAUGGAUCCGCGCCGCAUUAGCUAGUUGGUAAGGUAACGGCUUACCAAGGCAACGAUGCGUAGCCGACCUGAGAGGGUGAUCGGCCACACUGGAACUGAGACACGGUCCAGACUCCUACGGGAGGCAGCAGUAGGGAAUCUUCCGCAAUGGGCGAAAGCCUGGCGGAGCAACGCCGCGUGAGUGAUGAAGGUCUUCGGAUCGUAAAACUCUGUUAUUAGGGAAGAACAAAUGUGUAAGUAACUAUGCACGUCUUGACGGUACCUAAUCAGAAAGCCACGGCUAACUACGUG